AGUGAACGCUGGCGGUAGGCCUAACACAUGCAAGUCGAACGGCAGCCCAGUAAGAGCUUGCUCUUACGGGUGGCGAGUGGCGGACGGGUGAGGAAUACAUCGGAAUCUACUUUUUCGUGGGGGAUAACGUAGGGAAACUUACGCUAAUACCGCAUACGACCUACGGGUGAAAGCAGGGGAUCUUCGGACCUUGCGCGAUUGAAUGAGCCGAUGUCGGAUUAGCUAGUUGGCGGGGUAAAGGCCCACCAAGGCGACGAUCCGUAGCUGGUCUGAGAGGAUGAUCAGCCACACUGGAACUGAGACACGGUCCAGACUCCUACGGGAGGCAGCAGUGGGGAAUAUUGGACAAUGGGCGCAAGCCUGAUCCAGCCAUACCGCGUGGGUGAAGAAGGCCUUCGGGUUGUAAAGCCCUUUUGUUGGGAAAGAAAAGCAGCAGGUUAAUACCCCGCUGUUCUGACGGUACCCAAAGAAUAAGCACCGGCUAACUUCGUG
RNAcentral lists this ribosomal RNA (492 nucleotides) under uncultured bacterium. Its description in RNAcentral is "partial 16S ribosomal RNA". It matches the Rfam family "Bacterial small subunit ribosomal RNA", at positions 29 to 507 of the family's 1533-position model. The record is from RNAcentral.